UACGUAGGUGGCAAGCGUUAUCCGGAAUUAUUGGGCGUAAAGCGCGCGCAGGUGGUUUCUUAAGUCUGAUGUGAAAGCCCACGGCUCAACCGUGGAGGGUCAUUGGAAACUGGGAGACUUGAGUGCAGAAGAGGAAAGUGGAAUUCCAUGUGUAGCGGUGAAAUGCGUAGAGAUAUGGAGGAACACCAGUGGCGAAGGCGACUUUCUGGUCUGUAACUGACACUGCGGCGCGAAAGCGUGGGGAGCAAACAGG
This 253-nucleotide ribosomal RNA is filed under the name uncultured bacterium. RNAcentral describes it as "partial 16S ribosomal RNA". It matches the Rfam family "Bacterial small subunit ribosomal RNA", at positions 524 to 776 of the family's 1533-position model. The record is from RNAcentral.